This 588-nucleotide ribosomal RNA is filed under the name uncultured Imtechium sp. RNAcentral describes it as "bacterial SSU rRNA". It matches the Rfam family "Bacterial small subunit ribosomal RNA", at positions 335 to 916 of the family's 1533-position model. Lineage: Bacteria; Pseudomonadati; Pseudomonadota; Betaproteobacteria. The record is from RNAcentral.
ACUCCUACGGGAGGCAGCAGUGGGGAAUUUUGGACAAUGGGCGCAAGCCUGAUCCAGCAAUGCCGCGUGCAGGAAGAAGGCCUUCGGGUUGUAAACUGCCUUUGUCAGGGAAGAAAUCUUCUGGGCUAAUACCCCGGGAGGAUGACGGUACCUGAAGAAUAAGCACCGGCUAACUACGUGCCAGCAGCCGCGGUAAUACGUAGGGUGCGAGCGUUAAUCGGAAUUACUGGGCGUAAAGCGUGCGCAGGCGGCUUUGCAAGACAGAGGUGAAAUCCCCGGGCUCAACCUGGGAACUGCCUUUGUGACUGCAAGGCUAGAGUACGGCAGAGGGGGAUGGAAUUCCGCGUGUAGCAGUGAAAUGCGUAGAUAUGCGGAGGAACACCGAUGGCGAAGGCAAUCCCCUGGGCCUGUACUGACGCUCAUGCACGAAAGCGUGGGGAGCAAGCAGGAUUAGAUACCCUGGUAGUCCACGCCCUAAACGAUGUCAACUGGUUGUUGGACGGCUUGCUGUUCAGUAACGAAGCUAACGCGUGAAGUUGACCGCCUGGGGAGUACGGCCGCAAGGUUGAAACUCAAAUGAAUUGACGG